AAUGGUCAGCCUCAGCGAGGAGUGCACUAGGAAAAGCCAACGUUUGAGCCCACUGAACAGCCUGCAUCCCUGCUAUCUCCUGGCAGAGAGAGUUGAACGCAGCUGAGUGAUACCAUCUCCCUGCCCUUCUCAAACUGCUGCUCCAGUCCACACAACAGCACUGCGGGGUGCACCGUGAUGAUGCAGUUUUCCAAAGUGGUCGUGCUUGGAUUGCCAUAUUUACAUUGCUCACAACUCCAGUCAGCUCGCCUUUCAAGCUGGAUACUGCAACAUGUGAACAUGCAACAGGUCACAAAAUUGCUUAAGAUGCCUCAAGGCUGUCUCUUCUAACAGAGGCUCGGGGAAAUGGAGUGAGGGCCACAGAAAACUUUGUGAAGCAACUACAGAAGAGGGCAGUGUUUGCAGUGCCUGGUGGCUCAAGGGGGAGUUUAACAGAAAGUUAAGGCCUGAGCUUCCAAUGCGCAUCUCCACCUCCAUGAUGUUUACCUGAACAAUACGGUUCUGAGAAGACACCCUCCUGUUUCCUGAUGAGCUGUCAUCAGCUGUAUCACUUUCCAACAGGUAACCCAAUUUGAGUAGAUAUCUUGCUCAGUAUCUCAAUACCCUCUUUCUCCUCCAGCUAGGAGUAAAAUUCUCUGACAAGGAUGAACAGUCUAGAUCCAAGGCUGUUUAUUGAACUUCUGCUAGUGCAGCAAUCCCUUCAAUUUCUUAGCUAUCCUGCAGACUCUCAGGAGGCAAGGAAAGGUACAUUUCCCUUUUCUUCUCAGAU
Molecule: long non-coding RNA, 769 nt
Organism: Cygnus olor (mute swan)
Lineage: Eukaryota; Metazoa; Chordata; Aves; Anseriformes; Anatidae
Exons: 3
Source: RefSeq, a predicted model, not a curated record